ACGGGUGAGUAACGCGUGGGCAACCUGCCCUAUCGCCCGGGAUAACCCUCGGAAACGAGGGCUAAUACCGGAUGCGGUCACCGGCUCGCAUGAGCGGGUGACGAAAGGGCCAUGGGUCCGCGAUAGGAUGGGCCCGCGUCCCAUUAGCUAGUUGGUGGGGUAACGGCCCACCAAGGCGACGAUGGGUAGCCGGCCUGAGAGGGUGGACGGCCACACUGGCACUGAGACACGGGCCAGACUCCUACGGGAGGCAGCAGUAGGGAAUCUUGCGCAAUGGGCGAAAGCCUGACGCAGCGACGCCGCGUGGGGGAUGAAGGUCUUCGGAUCGUAAACCCCUGUCUUUGGGGACGAAGCAUGACGGUACCCAAGGAGGAAGCCCCGGCUAACUACGUGCCAGCAGCCGCGGUAAAACGUAGGGGGCGAGCGUUGUCCGGAAUUACUGGGCGUAAAGGGUGCGUAGGCGGCCGCUUAAGUCCUGUGUGAAAGGCCCCGGCUUAACCGGGGAGGGUCAUGGGAAACUGGGCGGCUUGAGUGCCGGAGAGGGUGGCGGAAUUCCCGGUGUAGC
RNAcentral lists this ribosomal RNA (565 nucleotides) under uncultured bacterium. RNAcentral's name for it is "bacterial SSU rRNA". It matches the Rfam family "Bacterial small subunit ribosomal RNA", at positions 102 to 679 of the family's 1533-position model. The record is from RNAcentral.